CAAUAGCGUAUAUUAAAGUUGUUGCAGUUAAAACGCUCGUAGUCGGAUUUCGGGGCGGGUCUGCCGGUUUGCCGAUGGGUAUAUACUGGUGGGUGCGUCCUUCCUUCCGGAGACCGCGCCUCCUCUUAACUGAGCGGGUGUGGGAGACGGAUCGUUUACUUUGAAAAAAUCAGAGUGUUUCAAGCAGGCAUGUCGCUCUUGCAUGGAUUAGCAUGGAAUAAUGGAAUAGGACUUUGGUUCUAUUUUGUUGGUUUCUUGAACCGAAGUAAUGAUUAAGAGGGACAGUUGGGGGCAUUCGUAUUUCGUUGUCAGAGGUGAAAUUCUUGGAUUUACGAAAGACGAACAACUGCGAAAGCAUUUGCCAAGAAUGUUUCAUUAAUCAAGAACGAAAGUUAGAGGCUCGAAGACGAU
This 411-nucleotide ribosomal RNA is filed under the name uncultured eukaryote. Its description in RNAcentral is "bacterial SSU rRNA". It matches the Rfam family "Eukaryotic small subunit ribosomal RNA", at positions 592 to 1008 of the family's 1831-position model. The record is from RNAcentral.